Molecule: unclassified non-coding RNA, 2600 nt
Filed under: Pomacea canaliculata
Lineage: Eukaryota; Metazoa; Mollusca; Gastropoda; Architaenioglossa; Ampullariidae
Description: uncharacterized LOC112559310, transcript variant X2
Source: RNAcentral
UUAGCUGCCAAUGUCUGCGAUAGCAACUAAUGGCGUCACCAUUCUCGCUUUGCGCGAGAUGGAACGAGUUUUUAUCUGUCGUCUGCAACUCGCAGCUCUCGGAAAGCGCAGAACUCCGAUAGGAUAAAUAUGGCUAUAACUAGAGUUGUUCCAGGAUGGUAUCAGAGAAUCAAUGCUAUCAAUGGAGAGAUGACUGAUACAAUGACUUAUAAAACUUUCUGUCUGGCUAAUGAGCCACGCCUAAAAACUUUGUAUCCAUUUCUUCCUCAAAAACAAAUCAAGGGAAAGCUCUUCAAACAAUGGAAGAAGUCUCAGUUAUCAGAGAAAAGUUUAAAAGCCAAGCCAAAGUCUGAACAAAUAAAGUCAAGAAGGAAGCAUUCUGUUAUACUGUCUGCAUCCAUUACAAACCACUGCAAAAAUCUACAUGAGACACAUAAUCCAAAUCUGGCACUGAAUCCAAAAAUUAAAGGUUCUUUAAAUUUUCAAACUGAUGAACAGCUGCAAUCAAUUCUGAAGACUCCAAGUCAAGAAAAUAAUAGUCAUCCAUUUUUAUUGCACAAGUUCCGGAUGUGGUAGUUCAGAUGGAAAAUCUAGAGAAAAGUAUUGAAAAAGAAAGGUUGGUAUUGUAACUUUCUGGUUGUAUUAGGUAUGAACUGAGAAAUACAUAACAUUGUGAUGCAUUUCUAUGUAUAUAUGUGCAAUGUGUCAACUCAUUUAUGUGUAUACAUGAAUUUUCUUGCAGGUGUACAUCACCAUUAUUUUAUGAGCAUGUUUUAUAUUUAAUGUGCCAAGAAACAAUUAUUCUCUUGUUCUUGUGUAAUUGUAAUAAAAUCAGUUCAAGCUGAAUAAGGUUUAAGGGAACACCUAUAUGUGUAAAUUAUGUAUUAAGCUGGUGAUGAGAAUGCAUAAGUGUAUCUAUUCACACCAUGUGUACUAUUCUUUGAGAUGAUAGUCUUUGAACUAAAAAUUUUCCAUGUGUUUGUUUUAGCACUGCAGCAUCAAACUACAGCUCCACAAGUCUGGCAAAUAAGGUCAGUUUUUCGUUAACCAAUAGUAACAGGAGCUCUAAUCCAAAUGAUGAACAUCUUAUUUCUACAAAAAACACACAAGAACUGACCCCACAGGUGUCAUAUCUAUUUCACAUAAGCAAAAACCAAAACUGCAAACAAACAUUAAGCAGAGAACUGAAAGACUGAAAGAAGAAGCUGCUUUUGACACUUUGCCACCUGAAUUUCGCAGUGUACUUAGUGGCAAACUCAAGGACGGAGAAAAGAGGUUCUGUCUAUUUGAAGAUGAGUUUCCUCUAGAAGAUCUUCCCCUAAGUAGGAAAAAAUCUAAGAGAAAAACUGAUACACAGGUGGUAAUUUCAUCCAAAAAAUCAUCAGGAUCUGGUAGAAAAUGUAUCAGGCCUGUUAAACAUUCAACAAAAAAGAAAAUGCAAAUCAGAGACAAAAACACAAAUUCUGAUCAGAAAUCAAAAUCUCAGCUUAAUAAGACCUUCAGUAUCAUCUGUUCCUACCACCAUAUUAAAAAGGUCUUCAGAAAUGCCAGCCAAAGACCUUGGCAUAUAUGGAUCAUCAAAUGGUCAAACUAAAACUUGUCUGAAAAGUUCUUACAAAAAAUUAUCAAAGUUUAGAAGUCAAGAGAUGCCAUACCUACAAACAUCUAUAUCAUCCCCACCUCUGUUCUCAAUUUCUCUAGAUCAUUCAAAAGACAAGGGGAUGACAAGCAAAAAUGAUGAACAAAGGGCAGAAUAUAAAAUGUUUGUUGGCAGAAAAGAAGCCAAACUUGAUGAAAAUGAUAUGCCUCUAAACUGGUUAGACAGCAAUAAAAAAAAACCCAAGGAAAUCUGCAAAUGUUACAAAGCUAAACUCUAAACAGUUAAGUUUCAGUAAGCAAACAAUCACAUGCUUUGAUAACAUUCUAUCAUCUGGCACUAGAUCUAUUGGUAAAUCAAAGAAAUCUCACGUGAGAAGAAAUACUUCAAAUAAAAAUAGCAUUACAUCUGAAGAGAACAAAGACAGCAGAAAUAAGGCACAAGACAAGAUAAGAUGUCAACUUCUGAGUGAGUUUACAGAUGCCUACAUCAUCCCAUCUGAAAAGAAUGAAAACACCCAGUCAAGACCUUUUCCUUCUGAAUUCCAAAAGAAGAUGGAAGACUUGAUAGGGCCUUCAGAACUGAACAACAAAGAACUAGAGACAGACAAGUCAAGUAUCUUGCUCAAGAUUAUCAAUCAGCUAAAACCUUGCAAGACAUCCUGUCAAUCACUGGUUCAGCCAGAACCAUCUGAGGCCAAGACAGUUGAAAAAAGGCCAUCUAAAAGGGACAACAUACUCUGUAAUAUGUUUGAGGAACCAAAAACACUAAUUAAAUCAAGAAGAUAUAUUUCUAGUAAAGAGGAUGCUCAGUUUCCUGUACUGGAUGAUGGAGACUUCAUGUAAACAAGCAUUUGCAUUGUUAGUUUUUUGUCAUUUCACAUGUGUCUUUAACACUUGUUGUCUUCAAUAUUUAUGGACUAGAUGAAAGAAAUUUCAAUCAAAAACUGUCUCCUGUGAUGUGUCUCCUAUAAUUUUUUCUAAAAUUCCAUGAUACCUUGACU